GUCUACGGCCACACCACCCUGAACACGCCCGAUCUCGUCUGAUCUCGGAUGCUAAGCAGGGUUGGGCCUGGUUAGUACCUGGAUGGGAGACCUCCUGGGAAUACUGGGUGCUGUAGGCU
This 119-nucleotide ribosomal RNA is filed under the name Terrapene triunguis (Three-toed box turtle). The record is from RNAcentral. Lineage: Eukaryota; Metazoa; Chordata; Testudines; Emydidae.